CUGGUUUCUUGGAAGGUAUGAUUGACAGUCACAUCUGUUAAGUUUAGUAUGUGGUCACGUCAACUCUCUCACCCAGUCUCUUUCGCUCUACCAUACAUAGCCUUAAAAAAUUAGGUAUGCAGUGUUGCAACAAAACGGACACGUUAAUGCAAAAAUAAAAAUAUAUUCCCUAUAUGGUGAAAGUUAGAGCUUGAAAAACUGCAUUUUAUAUAGUGCUCUGAAUCUCACCUUCACAGAAGUCUGGCGUAGCCACAAUAUCAGUACUUCAAAGAGCAAUUCGAUACAUUCUAAGAUUAUU
Molecule: non-coding RNA, 298 nt
Organism: Pelobates cultripes (western spadefoot toad)
Lineage: Eukaryota; Metazoa; Chordata; Amphibia; Anura; Pelobatidae
Source: the annotation of a GenBank genome assembly